RNAcentral lists this ribosomal RNA (475 nucleotides) under Coleocentrus chipsanii. RNAcentral describes it as "eukaryotic LSU rRNA". The record is from RNAcentral. Lineage: Eukaryota; Metazoa; Arthropoda; Insecta; Hymenoptera; Ichneumonidae.
CCUGAGAAACCCGAAAGAUCGAAUGGGGAGAUUCAUCGUCAGCGAUGCUGGUACGUGUGCGGUUCGCGAUGCCGGAGACUUCGGUCUCGUGGCACGCGUCCGCAUGUUUUUUAUUGCCUGGUAUCGUCGGCGUGCACUUCUCCCCUAGUAGGACGUCGCGACCCGUUGGGUGUCGGUUUACGGCCCGGGUGGGUGCCUGUCUCGUGUGCGCUUCACGGUGUCACUGCGGGGCAGACCCCCGGCUGCCCGACCGGCUGCCCGGCGGUACUCGCACGGUAUCUGGCCGCAAAAAUUCGAACUGCGUCCGGCCCGUCGCAAGCGCGGCAAGUGUUUUCCCGGAUGUACGGAUCUAAUGCCGUCAUCGGGCCUGGCCAGCUGUUGGUUGACGGUGUCCUAGGACUGGCUAUAAUAAUUAUGAUACCGGUCAGCGACGCUACUGCUUUGGGUACUUUCAGGACCCGUCUUGAAACACGGA